AACGAACGCUGGCGGCAUGCCUAACACAUGCAAGUCGAACGAGACCUUCGGGUCUAGUGGCGCACGGGUGCGUAACGCGUGGGAACCUGCCCUUAGGUUCGGAAUAACUCCCCGAAAGGGGUGCUAAUACCGGAUAAUGUCUUCGGACCAAAGAUUUAUCGCCUUUGGAUGGGCCCGCGUUGGAUUAGCUAGUUGGUAGGGUAAAAGCCUACCAAGGCGACGAUCCAUAGCUGGUCUGAGAGGAUGAUCAGCCACACUGGGACUGAGACACGGCCCAGACCCACCCGGACGGUCACGUGGGGGAAAAAUGAAAGACGGGAGAAUGAGCUAUCCCGCCAUUCCGGAAAAUGGUUGAAGGCUUUGGGGUUGAAAAACUAUUUUCCCCGGGAAGAUAAAGCAAGCCCCGGGAAAAAAAGCCCCGGAUACUACCGU
This 432-nucleotide ribosomal RNA is filed under the name uncultured bacterium. Its description in RNAcentral is "partial 16S ribosomal RNA". It matches the Rfam family "Bacterial small subunit ribosomal RNA", at positions 29 to 506 of the family's 1533-position model. The record is from RNAcentral.